GUCGCGUGCCCUCCUUGGGCGUUUCCUCCCUAGACUCGGGCCGUUCGUUCGCCGGACGGCCCGCUUUUUUUGUCCGC
RNAcentral lists this small RNA (77 nucleotides) under Dichotomicrobium thermohalophilum. RNAcentral's name for it is "Makes More Granules Regulator RNA (mmgR)". It matches the Rfam family "Makes More Granules Regulator RNA (mmgR)". Rfam says of the family: SuhB later renamed mmgR (makes more granules regulator) was a putative non-coding RNA found multiple times in the Agrobacterium tumefaciens genome and related alpha-proteobacteria. Other non-coding RNAs uncovered in the same analysis include: speF, ybhL, metA, and serC. Several studies inSinorhizobium meliloti showed that suhB element is indeed a non-coding RNA:firstly it was detected on Northern blot and called Sm8RNA, secondly in an RNAseq study referred to as SmelC689. Lineage: Bacteria; Pseudomonadati; Pseudomonadota; Alphaproteobacteria; Hyphomicrobiales; Hyphomicrobiaceae. The record is from Rfam by way of RNAcentral.